Asterias rubens (European starfish) is the source of this 2008-nucleotide long non-coding RNA. RefSeq lists it as uncharacterized. The record is from RefSeq and is a predicted model, not a curated record. The transcript is spliced from 3 exons. NCBI's taxonomy places the organism in Eukaryota, Metazoa, Echinodermata, Asteroidea, Forcipulatida, Asteriidae.
AUCCUGUUUUUAUCAAGGAAGAAAUUUCAUGCUUGGCAAAUGUGCUUAGCAGCUCCAUGAAAUUGAGCCCUGAUGACUCCACUACAUUCAACCAUUCAAGUGACGUAGCGAUGCUGAGGCUAACCAACACUUGUUGGUACAAAAAGACAACAACAUACCCUUAGGUUGAGAUGACGACCUUGAAGAUGACCUCUUGGGAUACUAAUUACACUUUUUGAGCUGACCACUAGCUGAAGGACUGUGACACGUCUGGCCACUACACGUUCAAAUGUUCAAGUGAUGUAUGCCAGUGGAGGCUAACCAACACUUUUUUGGAAAGGAGCAAAAAGUAAACAACAGACAACUUUAUUGAGUUUAUGGUCUUGGAGAUGACAUACACCCAACAUUGAGGCUAAUCAACACUUUUUGGACUGAGUGCCACUAGCUGAAGGACUGUGCCAGUCAGCACCAUUUCAAGCUCGAUGAGUCUCUGCUACAAGUUCAAUCAAUAAAGCGACGAUGUGAGGAUAUAACCAUAAUGAUUUGGACUGGACAGCUGAAGAUCCGGGGCAUAGUUCAAGGGUCAAAGGGACAGGACAUGAUAACACUUUUCAGAGCCAACUCUAGAUUUUCCACACCAUGCAAAGCUUCAAUGCUUUUUGGACUGUCACCGACUAAAGAAAGACUGUCGAGUUUAGCCAGAUGAUAUACCCACAUGAACUGAAAUAAUCUGGACCAUGAUGAUGGCGCCAUGUAUGAUGACACUCGGUGGGAGCUUUGGGUGUUUCUAAAUGUGAGCUGCGGCUAUGGCUGCAGAUGUUGCUAAGGGACACAUACUUUAAACAUGUUCAUGUGAUGAUCAAGCCACAUCCACAGCCAUUCAUUCAGAUAUACAGCCUUAUUGAUGUUUACUCAUAGGCCUUUUUUGAAUCCAUGAAAAUCCCACAUUGUACAAGUAGCUCAGUUACUCGCAUGAGUUGAUUUGAUAACACUGGCACGCCUGGCCUCGUGACGAGCAUUGUUGAACCAUAAUUGGAAAUCAAAUUAAAAUAUUUAAACCAAGCAGGCCUACAAUAUAUGCUUUGGAAUUUGAUGGCGUCAAAGAAGUUAGAAAUGCAAGUCUAAAGAUUGAUGCAGUUCAGAAACAAACAAUCAAAUGCGAUUGCCACAAAUGUCAGAAAGCAAGCAACUCAACUAUGAGCCCUGCAUUUAAACUUGUUAGCCAAAACCUUUUAACUACAAACGAGUGGAAAUGCCAGGAACAAUUAAAAUAGGGUUACAGGGAAUAUUUGAACAAAUUUCCAAACUAAAGUCACAAAUUUAUUUGAUAUGUUGGACAUCUUUCAAAGACAAGCUUGGGUUUAGCCGUUGUCCUUAUGGUACACUGCUUUGUAAAAUAAUUUAUUUGGUGAAGGUAGAAAAACGGACAAAAUUGCAAGGUUAUUUUGUACCAGUAUUUUGAGGUAAUAAAAUCAUUUUUGUUAGAUUAAAUCUGUUCAAUUUAAUUUCUGUAUAAAUAUAGAUCCUUUAUCUAUACUAGUGUGUAAACUUGAUACAUUGUCUAAUUAGAUUCAAAGAUGGGUGGGAAAUUUCAAAGUGUAAAUGAGGCAAAGUAGACCAAAUGCAUGUUGUAUAGUGAAUACGAGCAGGACUCUGUUGCAAUGUGAUCACAAAUCAUGGCAACAAUCACAACACCAGGGCUGGGUGUCACACAAAAUAUGAGAAGCGUAACAGCUGUAACGCUUCUCGGAUUGUGUACUCUAAUUGCAUAUUACCCUGCGCAUAACAUCUCAAGACUUUAUUUAGGCAAUCUGAAAAAAUGUAAUGAUUUUGCCAGUGGAAUAUUCUUUACUAAGUCUUUACUAAAAAUGCAUAAACUUAGGCCUAUUGCUUGAAGUAUUGCUUGAAAUAAUUUAAUUUCAAUCAUGAGGUCUUUAUAAUUAUGAGAAUAAUAAAUAACUGACAAUAAAGUCGAACAGAAUAGAGUAAUAAAAUGGUUAGCGUGCACAAUACCCACGUGUUCAUGGGA